RNAcentral lists this ribosomal RNA (498 nucleotides) under uncultured bacterium. RNAcentral's name for it is "partial 16S ribosomal RNA". It matches the Rfam family "Bacterial small subunit ribosomal RNA", at positions 28 to 507 of the family's 1533-position model. The record is from RNAcentral.
GACGAACGCUGGCGGCGUGCCUAAUACAUGCAAGUCGAACGAGAACGACCGGUGCUUGCACUGGUCAAUCUAGUGGCGAACGGGUGAGUAACACGUGGGUAACCUGCCCAUCAGAGGGGGAUAACAUCCGGAAACGGAUGCUAAAACCGCAUAGGUCUUCGAACCGCAUGGUUUGAAGAGGAAAAGAGGCGCAAGCUUCUGCUGAUGGAUGGACCCGCGGUGCAUUAGCUAGUUGGUGAGGUAACGGCUCACCAAGGCCGUGAUGCAUAGCCGACCUGAGAGGGUGAUCGGCCACAUUGGGACUGAGACACGGCCCAAACUCCUACGGGAGGCAGCAGUAGGGAAUCUUCCGCAAUGGACGCAAGUCUGACGGAGCAACGCCGCGUGGGUGAAGAAGGUUUUCGGAUCGUAAAACUCUGUUGUUAGAGAAGAACAAGUGCUAGAGUAACUGUUAGCGCCUUGACGGUAGCUAACCAGAAAGCCACGGCUAACUACGUG